This is an unclassified non-coding RNA of Cavia aperea (Brazilian guinea pig), 101 nucleotides long. Its record names the gene Vault. It matches the Rfam family "Vault RNA". Rfam says of the family: This family of RNAs are found as part of the enigmatic vault ribonucleoprotein complex. The complex consists of a major vault protein (MVP), two minor vault proteins (VPARP and TEP1), and several small untranslated RNA molecules. NCBI's taxonomy places the organism in Eukaryota, Metazoa, Chordata, Mammalia, Rodentia, Caviidae. The record is from Ensembl.
GGGCUGGCUUUAGCCCAGCGGUUUCUUCGAGUCUGGCUUCCCAACCACCCAGGCCGAUUGGCCGGGGGGUUCCAGACCCGUGAGUGCUCUCUAGUCCUUUA